RNAcentral lists this ribosomal RNA (126 nucleotides) under Metapochonia bulbillosa. RNAcentral describes it as "5.8S ribosomal RNA". It matches the Rfam family "5.8S ribosomal RNA", at positions 1 to 127 of the family's 154-position model. Rfam says of the family: 5.8S ribosomal RNA (5.8S rRNA) is a component of the large subunit of the eukaryotic ribosome. It is transcribed by RNA polymerase I as part of the 45S precursor that also contains 18S and 28S rRNA. The record is from RNAcentral. Lineage: Eukaryota; Fungi; Ascomycota; Sordariomycetes; Hypocreales; Clavicipitaceae.
AACUUUCAACAACGGAUCUCUUGGUUCCGGCAUCGAUGAAGAACGCAGCGAAAUGCGAUACGUAAUGUGAAUUGCAAAUUCAGUGAAUCAUCGAGUCUUUGAACGCACAUUGCGCCCCCUGGUAUU